GGAGGUGUCGCCUAGUGGUAUGGCACGAGUUCGCUAAACUCGCACCCGCAAGGGUGUCGUGGGUUCGAUUCCCACCGCCUCCG
This 83-nucleotide transfer RNA is filed under the name Candidatus Collierbacteria bacterium RIFOXYA1_FULL_46_24. RNAcentral describes it as "tRNA-Ser". It matches the Rfam family "tRNA". Rfam says of the family: Transfer RNA (tRNA) molecules are approximately 80 nucleotides in length. The record is from RNAcentral. RNAcentral also lists the same sequence under 3 other names. Lineage: Bacteria; Candidatus Collieribacteriota.